AGAGUUUGAUCAUGGCUCAGAAUCAACGCUGGCGGCGCGCUUAACACAUGCAAGUCGCACGAGAAAGUGGAGCAAUCCAUGAGUACAGUGGCGUACGGGUGAGUAACACGUGGAUCAUCUACCUUUUAGUGGGGAAUACCCCCGGGAAACUGGGGAUAAUACCGCAUAAGCUCGUAAGAGGAAAGCAGCAAUGCGCUGAAAGAGGAGUCCGCGGCUGAUUAGCUAGUUGGUGAGGUAAUGGCUCACCAAGGCGAAGAUCGGUAGCCGGCCUGAGAGGGCACACGGCCACACUGGCACUGAAACACGGGCCAGACUCCUACGGGAGGCAGCAGUGGGGAAUCUUGCACAAUGGAGGAAACUCUGAUGCAGCGACGCCGCGUGAGCGAUGAAGCCCUUCGGGGUGUAAAGCUCUUUCGACGGGAACGAUAAUGACGGUACCCGAAGAAGAAGCUGCGGCUAACUACGUGCCAGCAGCCGCGGUAAUACGUAGGCAGCAAGCGUUGUUCGGAAUUACUGGGCGUAAAGAGUGUGUAGGCGGUGCUCUAAGUCUGUUGUGAAAUCUCCCGGCUUAACCGGGAGGGUGCGGCGGAAACUGGAGUGCUUGAGGGUGGGAGAGGUAAGCGGAAUUCCUGGUGUAGCGGUGAAAUGCGUAGAUAUCAGGAGGAACACCUGUGGUGUAGACAGCUUACUGGACCACUUCUGACGCUGAGACACGAAAGCGUGGGUAGCAAACAGGAUUAGAUACCCCAGUAGUCC
RNAcentral lists this ribosomal RNA (756 nucleotides) under uncultured bacterium. RNAcentral describes it as "bacterial SSU rRNA". It matches the Rfam family "Bacterial small subunit ribosomal RNA", at positions 8 to 796 of the family's 1533-position model. The record is from RNAcentral.